RNAcentral lists this ribosomal RNA (253 nucleotides) under uncultured bacterium. Its description in RNAcentral is "partial 16S ribosomal RNA". It matches the Rfam family "Bacterial small subunit ribosomal RNA", at positions 524 to 776 of the family's 1533-position model. The record is from RNAcentral.
UACGAAGGGGGCUAGCGUUGUUCGGAAUUACUGGGCGUAAAGAGCGCGUAGGCGGCUUGCCAAGUUGGGGGUGAAAUCCCGGAGCUCAACUCCGGAACUGCCUUCAAAACUGGCAAGCUCGAGUCCGGAAGAGGGGCGUGGAAUUCCCAGUGUAGAGGUGAAAUUCGUAGAUAUUGGGAAGAACACCGGUGGCGAAGGCGGCGCCCUGGUCCGGUACUGACGCUGAGGCGCGAAAGCGUGGGGAGCAAACAGG